This 280-nucleotide ribosomal RNA is filed under the name Escherichia coli. RNAcentral describes it as "partial 23S ribosomal RNA". It matches the Rfam family "Bacterial large subunit ribosomal RNA", at positions 1 to 281 of the family's 2925-position model. The record is from RNAcentral. Lineage: Bacteria; Pseudomonadati; Pseudomonadota; Gammaproteobacteria; Enterobacterales; Enterobacteriaceae. RNAcentral also lists the same sequence under 3 other names.
GGUUAAGCGACUAAGCGUACACGGUGGAUGCCCUGGCAGUCAGAGGCGAUGAAGGACGUGCUAAUCUGCGAUAAGCGUCGGUGAGGUGAUAUGAACCGUUAUAACCGGCGAUUUCCGAAUGGGGAAACCCAGUGUGUUUCGACACACUAUCAUUAACUGAAUCCAUAGGUUAAUGAGGCGAACCGGGGGAACUGAAACAUCUAAGUACCCCGAGGAAAAGAAAUCAACCGAGAUUCCCCCAGUAGCGGCGAGCGAACGGGGAGGAGCCCAGAGCCUGAAU